Molecule: transfer RNA, 71 nt
Filed under: Heliconius melpomene (postman butterfly)
Lineage: Eukaryota; Metazoa; Arthropoda; Insecta; Lepidoptera; Nymphalidae
Description: tRNA HMEL011565
Source: RNAcentral
UCGUCGUAGCGGAGCGGCACAAGUGUGUGCCUGUAACGCAAAGGUUGUGGGUUCGAUCCCCACUCGAGGAA